UACGUAGGGGCCUAGCGUUGUCCGGAAUUAUUGGGCGUAAAGAGCUCGUAGGCGGUUCGGCAAGUCGGAUGUGAAAUCUCCACGCUCAACGUGGAGGGGCCAUUCGAAACUGCCGUGACUCGAGUCCGGUAGGGGAGUGUGGAAUUCCCGGUGUAGCGGUGAAAUGCGUAGAUAUCGGGAAGAACACCAGUGGCGAAGGCGCUCUACUGGGCCACAACUGACGCUGAGGGACGAAAGCGUGGGGAGCGAACAGG
This 254-nucleotide ribosomal RNA is filed under the name uncultured bacterium. Its description in RNAcentral is "partial 16S ribosomal RNA". It matches the Rfam family "Bacterial small subunit ribosomal RNA", at positions 524 to 776 of the family's 1533-position model. The record is from RNAcentral.